UCGCCAGCAGCCGACGGUAAUACGGGAGGGUGCGAGCGUUAAUACGGUAAUUACGUGGGACGUAAAGCGCAUGCAGGCGGCCUGUUAAGUCAGAUGUAGAAACGGCCCGGGGACCUUAACCGUACGGUAAGUUGCUAUUUAGUAAACGUGGCGAGGCUAGAGUCUUGUAGAGGGGGUAGGAAUUUCAGGUGUAGCGGUGAAAUGCGUAGAGAUCUGAAGGAAUACCAGUGGCGAAGGCGGCCCCCUGGACAAAGACUGACGCUCAGAUGCGAAAGCGUGGGGAGCAAACAGGAUUAGAUACCCUGGUAG
Molecule: ribosomal RNA, 309 nt
Filed under: uncultured bacterium
Lineage: Bacteria
Description: bacterial SSU rRNA
Rfam family: Bacterial small subunit ribosomal RNA
Source: RNAcentral